AAGGAAAAAUCGUGUAUUUGUAACCUAGA
This 29-nucleotide non-coding RNA is filed under the name Rattus norvegicus (Norway rat). Lineage: Eukaryota; Metazoa; Chordata; Mammalia; Rodentia; Muridae. The record is from RNAcentral.